UUGAUUACGUCCCUGCCCUUUGUACACACCGCCCGUCGCUGCCCGGGACUGAGCCAUUUCGAGAAAUUUGGGGACCGUUGAUUUAAUUUUUCUAAAUUACUUUGAUGGAAACCAAUUUAAUCGCAGUGGCUUGAACCGGGCAAAAGUCGUAACAAGGUAGCUGUAGGUGAACCUGCUGCUGGAUCAUUACUUUAUGUGAUGUUCAAAUUUGAAUUCGCAAUGAAAUGAUCGUUGUGAAACGGCUGUCGCUGGUGUCUAAGUGUUGCUGAUACGGUUGUGAACGUCCGUGGCUGUAUAUGUGGUGACAUGUUAGGACUCUAAUGAGUUUAAGACCUAAUGAGCCUCUUAAGUGAGGCCGCCAGCAACCUUUUUUUUCUCUACAUUUUAAAAAAAAAAACUAAAAUUCUACCCUUAUCGGUGGAUCACUAGGCUCGUGGAUCGAUGAAGAACGCAGCAAACUGCGAUAAUUAUUGCGAACUGCAGAAGUAUUGAGCACAAAAGUUUUGAACGCAAAUGGCCGCAUUGAGGUCAAACUCUUUGCAACGUCUGGUUCAGGGUCAUUUUCUCUUAUAGCGGAAGCUUUAAUUUCUAUAAUGAUGUUGUUGCUUUAUAUUUUAAAAGGAUUUUUGUUUAUUCAUGUAUUAAAUCUAACUGUGAAAAUCAAACAAUUUUGACCUGAACUCAGUCGAGAGCACCCGCUGAACUUAAGCAUAUCAGUAAGCGGAGGAAAAGAAACUAAAUAGGAUUCCCCCAGUAACGGCGAGUGAAA
This 769-nucleotide ribosomal RNA is filed under the name Meloidogyne incognita (southern root-knot nematode). RNAcentral's name for it is "eukaryotic LSU rRNA". The stretch from base 1 to 189 matches the Rfam family "Eukaryotic small subunit ribosomal RNA", at positions 1641 to 1831 of the family's 1831-position model. The record is from RNAcentral. Lineage: Eukaryota; Metazoa; Nematoda; Chromadorea; Rhabditida; Meloidogynidae.